GUGGUUGUUGAUAGGGUAUGACUAUACAUAAAAUUAAGGAGGUCCAUUAAGGCUGCUUCUUCAGAGGCAUGUAUCCGUAGAGUUACAUGUCGCUGCUCUGACUCUCUCAUCCCAUUUGAAAACAACUUGUAAAAAAAGGGGCUUUUAGCAGCUAAUAUUGGAGAACUAAUAUGCAGAGUCUUAACUCUAAGAACGGUUGAACAGUCCAUGUUCCAGGAUGAGUCGUUACCAUUAUCAACAUCAUCACCAAGUUCAUUCAAAUUCACAUCAGCAUCUGUAGGAGGUUCCUCGAUCAUUGCCAUUGGUUCUUCAUCUUGAUUUUCAUAGGCAACAGCAUCCUCUGUGUCCGGCAUGUUACAGUUUAUUACCUGCUCCUCACUUUGCCCAACAACCUCCGCAGCGUUUUCUUUCUUGAUGUCCUCCCUUCGCCUCUUGCGAUUACGGACCCAGUCAGCGAUGCUAGUGCAAGGGUCGCCGUCCGACUUCGUCUCUGGUAAAUCGGGGAUAAUCUCGAUCCUGAGAACCCGAUCGGAGAAGUUACUGUCGUUGAAGGCGAAGGCGAAAUCCGGGUCGGACCCAGGUGCAUCAGGCCCACCAGGAGAGUAGUCCGAGUCCAUGAUCGUUCGAGGAUCGAAGAGGUCCGCGCUCGGUACUCUCAUGCCCAAAAAUCCCCAAGCUUUAAGUGAAAUUUAAAAUACAGUAACGAAUUUUCUUGUUACCUAAAAACCCUAGAAACCAGCGAAAUUUUGAAGGAGAGACGGAGAAAAAAAAGAG
Molecule: unclassified non-coding RNA, 774 nt
Filed under: Hevea brasiliensis (rubber tree)
Lineage: Eukaryota; Viridiplantae; Streptophyta; Magnoliopsida; Malpighiales; Euphorbiaceae
Source: RNAcentral